UGUUAUUCUAAAUAGCACACAUGGUGCAUGUCUCUGACACACAAGUUUAAAUGUGAGGAUGUUGAAGAAGGAAAAAAACUACAAGAUUACAAGGCCUUUGGAAAUUGAUGUUGUUGGAGAGAAUGUUACAUCAAUAAUGGGACAGGUAAAAGUCCUGCAAGACCAGUACAGAAGGACACAGCCAGAUACUUGCUUUGUUGAAGAGUGAAUAAAGAAGACCUUUGCCUGUAGGUGAAAGAAGAUUACUAGUAAAAUGACUGUUGAAGAUGCUGUCAACAAAUAUCCAUUCUUAAAGAGUCCAUCAGAGCUUCAUCAAGAAAUUGGUUUCCUGUAUUAAUCUGUUAAUCUAUGCCACCACUUUCAAGAAACAUUGCGUCCAGUGUGCUACGGCUUGCUCAAGGGAAAUCUCUAUCAACGCUGCACAAAGAGGCUAGAGAGGAAUCUUUCAGUGAAGACCAUCAUGGUAAUUGACUCUUCAACUUUGUCCUCUUUAUUAAGCCUAUCCAAUUCUAUCCUUGGAUGGAU
This is a long non-coding RNA of Sinocyclocheilus anshuiensis, 525 nucleotides long. RefSeq lists it as uncharacterized. The record is from RefSeq and is a predicted model, not a curated record. The transcript is spliced from 3 exons. NCBI's taxonomy places the organism in Eukaryota, Metazoa, Chordata, Actinopteri, Cypriniformes, Cyprinidae.